AUUGAACGCUGGCGGCAUGCCUUACACAUGCAAGUCGAACGGCAGCACGGGUGCUUGCACCUGGUGGCGAGUGGCGAACGGGUGAGUAAUACAUCGGAACAUGUCCUGUAGUGGGGGAUAGCCCGGCGAAAGCCGGAUUAAUACCGCAUACGAUCUACGGAUGAAAGCGGGGGACCUGCGGGCCUCGCGCUAUAGGGUUGGCCGAUGGCUGAUUAGCUAGUUGGUGGGGUAAAGGCCUACCAAGGCGACGAUCAGUAGCUGGUAUGAGAGGACGACCAGCCACACUGGGAGUGAGGAAGGGCACACACACUGAGGGGAGGAAGCAGUCGGGAAUCUUGCGCGAGGGAGGAGUGGGUAAUCCAGGAAAGUCGGGUAUGGGAUGAUGGACCAAGGCCUGGUGAGCGAUGUAGGCCGGAGGGAUGUCCAGCGCUUUUAUACGGGAUGAGAAUGACAGUACCGGAAGAAUAAGCACCGGCUAACUACGUG
RNAcentral lists this ribosomal RNA (486 nucleotides) under uncultured bacterium. RNAcentral describes it as "partial 16S ribosomal RNA". It matches the Rfam family "Bacterial small subunit ribosomal RNA", at positions 29 to 507 of the family's 1533-position model. The record is from RNAcentral.